Molecule: ribosomal RNA, 1359 nt
Filed under: Triticum aestivum (bread wheat)
Lineage: Eukaryota; Viridiplantae; Streptophyta; Magnoliopsida; Poales; Poaceae
Description: partial small subunit ribosomal RNA
Source: RNAcentral
AUGUCUGCUGCAUCGGGCUAUGUCGCUGUCCCUCGCUGUCCGGUGAUCUUCGACGGUACUAACUACACCGAGUUCGCUGGCUUCAUGCGCAUUCACAUGCGUGGCAUCCGUCUCUGGGGUGUUCUUUCUGGCGAGGUCUGCUGUCCGCCACGUCCGGUUCCUCCGGUGGCUCCUACUCCGCCGACUCCACUGGUUCUUCCUCCGGAUGCUAAUCAGGCCGCCAAGGAUGCGGCUAAGGUUGCUGAUGAGGCUGCUGAUCGUGCCUAUGAUGAGAGGGCUCUGGCUUAUGAGGAGGCUCUUCAGACGUAUCAUGGUGCUUUGUCUGUUUACACCCAGUGGCUUGAUGAUGAUGCUCGUGCUGCCGCUGUUCUCACUGCUAGUGUUCUGCCUCAGUUUGCUUCUGAGUUUCUGGGUCUUCCUACCGUCUUCCAGAUGUGGACCUGUCUUCGUCAGCGCUAUGAGCCCUCUGGUGAUGCCUUAUACCUGUCUGUGGUUCGUCAGGAGCAUGCUCUUCAGCAGGGUGACUCUACUGUUGAUGACUUUUAUGCACAGAGUUCUGCUAUCUGGCGCCAGCUUGAUUCUCUCCGCAGUGCUGGUUGUCGUACUUGCCCCUGCUGCCAGGCUGUCCAGGCCGAUUUGGAGUUUCAUCGCGUCUACGAGUUCCUGUCUCGGCUCCGUAAGGAGUUUGAGCCCCGGCGUGCUCAGUUGCUUGCUCGUGGUCGUAUUUCUCUCAUGGAGGCGCUUUCGGAGAUUCGUGCUGAGGAGACUCGCCUACGCGGUGCUGGUUUGCUGGAGGUUCCCUCGGUGCUCGCUACUCGGGCUUCUUCCACUCCACCUGCUGCACCGCCCCAUUCCCGCUCGAGUGCUCCGCCGCUCUUGCCCACUCCUUCUGGCGGCUCAGGUCGGCCCCGUUCACAUUGUGAUUACUGCAACAAUGAUGGUCAUAUUGAGUCCCAGUGCUACACAAAGCGGAAACACCUGCGCAAGGCGCGAUCAUCCUCCUCAGGGACUUCGUCAUCUCCCUCGCCAGCUUCAGGCAUUGCUUUGACCGAGCAGGAUAUUCUGAGACUUAAGCGUCUGCUCGCGGCUUCAGGUUCUUCCUCGACGGGUACUGCUGGUUCUGUGACUGAUGCUUCCCGCACUGAGCACCCGCCCUCUACACAGUCAGGUACAUCUCCAUGGGUUCUGGAUUCUGGAGCUUCUUUUCAUAUGUCUUCUCAUUCUUCUGCUUUGUCUUCUCUUCGCUCGCUGGAUUCUCCUGUUCAUGUCUUCACUGCUGAUGGUACUCCACUUUCUGUUGCUAGUAGAGGCCAUCUUUCUACUCCUUAUUCUGUUCCUGAUGUUGCUCAUGUUCCUUGA